This 467-nucleotide ribosomal RNA is filed under the name uncultured bacterium. RNAcentral's name for it is "bacterial SSU rRNA". It matches the Rfam family "Bacterial small subunit ribosomal RNA", at positions 329 to 794 of the family's 1533-position model. The record is from RNAcentral.
GGCCAGACUCCUACGGGAGGCAGCAGUGAGGAAUAUUGGUCAAUGGGCGGGAGCCUGAACCAGCCAAGCCGCGUGAAGGAAGAAGGCGCCAAGCGUCGUAAACUUCUUUUGUCGGGGAACAAAGGGCGCCACGUGUGGCGUUGUGAGUGUACCCGAAGAAAAAGCAUCGGCUAACUCCGUGCCAGCAGCCGCGGUAAUACGGAGGAUGCGAGCGUUAUCCGGAUUUAUUGGGUUUAAAGGGUGCGUAGGCGCCGGGGAAGGUCGGCGGAAAAAGCCGGGGCCCCACCCCCGGCGAGCCGUUGAAACUGUCGGACUAGAGACGGCGAGAAGUACGCGGAAUGCGCGGUGUAGCGGUGAAAUGCAUAGAUAUCGCGCAGAACUCCGAUUGCGAAGGCAGCAUGCCGGCGCCACCCUGACGCUGAGGCACGAAAGCGUGGGUAUCGAACAGGAUUAGAUACCCGAGUAGU